RNAcentral lists this ribosomal RNA (220 nucleotides) under uncultured bacterium. Its description in RNAcentral is "partial 16S ribosomal RNA". It matches the Rfam family "Bacterial small subunit ribosomal RNA", at positions 111 to 334 of the family's 1533-position model. The record is from RNAcentral.
UAAUGUCUGGGAAACUGCCUGAUGGAGGGGGAUAACUACUGGAAACGGUAGCUAGUACCGCAUAACGUCGCGAGACCAAAGUGGGGGACCUUCGGGCCUCAUGCCAUCAGAUGUGCCCAGAUGGGAUUAGCUAGUAGGUGGGGUAACGGCUCACCUAGGCGACGAUCCCUAGCUGGUCUGAGAGGAUGACCAGCCACACUGGAGCUGAGACACGGUCCAG